AGUGAAACUUCCAUCAGUGCGACACAGUUUGUAAACCACGAACAUUGGGAUUUCAUCAUCCAUAAGUUCAAAUAUACAUGUGUCACAUAUUUGAAGCUGUUUCUUCCUCACAUAAUCCGCACAACCAACGGUGAAACGUCGCACAUAACCAUUGGUUCUUAGAUUCGUUCGUACUGACCAAUUAUGAUGUGAACUAUCAUGGAUUUGAAAACUCUGGACAAAUUUUGGCAGAUACAAU
RNAcentral lists this long non-coding RNA (238 nucleotides) under Olea europaea (common olive). RNAcentral's name for it is "long non-coding RNA (OEUR_LNC010044)". The record is from RNAcentral. Lineage: Eukaryota; Viridiplantae; Streptophyta; Magnoliopsida; Lamiales; Oleaceae.